Molecule: long non-coding RNA, 1585 nt
Filed under: Mus musculus (house mouse)
Lineage: Eukaryota; Metazoa; Chordata; Mammalia; Rodentia; Muridae
Description: RIKEN cDNA 6430710C18 gene (6430710C18Rik)
Source: RNAcentral
GACAGGGAACCUUACUGGUAAAUAGCGCAAGUCAGUAGCCAGCUUGGGAAUUACCUGGAACAAGGAAGAGCCUGAAAUGGAUGUCCACGAAGAGGCCCGUCGGCUGUCCGAUGAGGUGUCUGCUAUCAGAGGGAAAUGUGUACUUUUUGAGGAGGAGCGUGAUAUUCGCCAGCUUCAGAUAGUUUAAUUCUGUGGAACUGGAGAGGGUAUAAAUGGGAAAGACCUGAGAGGGUCUGUGGUGGCUGCUGCUCCCCCGGCUGCUCCUGGUUGGUGUUGCUGUGGUUUGUCAGAGAUGAGAAGAAAUUGAACUUGACCUAAGGAACUCAAGGCCCUUCAUCAGCAGGAAGGACUCUAAAGAGGUGUGACAACAGGAGCCUUCCUAGGGCUUGCUUCUGCCACCCUGGCUCCAGAGUCCUUGAAAAGCUCUGUCUUAAGGGCAUAAGGAGAACGUGAUAGAGUGGGACAUGCGACAUCUUUUACUCCUGUCACCAAGACCUCCAUCCUCCAUGCAGCCUGGACCGGGGGCUCUUUGUAUUGGUCUUGGGCGAUGCCUGUGAAAGGCUCAUUCGACCUCCCAAGGGACUGAGGAGACUCGUGUUGUUGGAAACCCUUAGGGAUUUUAAUAUUCCCCAAGUGACAGCAAAUGGCCUCCCUGUGUUUCUAGACGGUAUCUGGGACUCCUUCCUAUUGGCAGAAGGGCCACGAAAGAGUGACGUGAAUUUGGAGCAGAUGGUGCCUUCGUCCGUUGCUGAACUCUGCUUGCGGCCCAAAGGAAGACUUGAUACUGAAGGUGCUAUAAUGGCUUUCUGCUCAGUUUGUUGUAAAUUCUAAAUGGGGUGAUUGAAGGCUGUAACGAGCAGUGUUGUUGGACCGCCUCUGGCUGCAACAUCUGGUGAAUGCCUUCACUAGCUGACAACUGUUAGUCUUUGCCUCAAGGGAGUACCACCCAGACCUUUGGCUUUAAGUAGGUUGCAGAUUAGGCUGCUAGAAGCAAGUUCAUGUAUCACAAAGAAGAGGAAGAAAUACCACCACAACUUUGUUUCUAGUAUUAACAAUACAAUCGGUUAAGGUAGACCUUGCCUUGCGUGUGCUGUUAUGGAAGCACUUGAAAGUCAGAUUUUUAUUACAGGUUUUUAGUUCAGGAAUUUAAAUUGAUAUUCUAAGCCUUGUGUAGCCUCUCUCAGAGACAAAUCCAAAUUGCUAACAGCACCAGGGAAAUCUAGAAAAAUUGGCUUACUGUCCCAUAUUAGUGAGGCUGACGUUGCAGCAGAGCCAGUUUGCUUGCUGGAGAUGACGGAUCACAGGAGGAGAGUGUGGCCCACGGCACUGAAAGCUCCAUUAGCCAGUAAUUUAAAAGCACUACAAUUUAAGAAACAGGAAUAAUAGAAAUAAGAUAUCUAGAGUAAAUGUUCCUGUCACGAAGGUUAUGCUAAGUCCUCACAGACUAGACUCUGGGUGAUUAGUAUGUUUAAAAUAAGAAUAGAAAUAAGAUUCUAGAUUAAAAAAAAAAAGGUAUUACAGGCUAAAAACAUUUAAAUAGCAUUCUUUAUCAGUUUUUAUCAUCAUUAAAACAACAUUUUAAAUC